This 37202-nucleotide long non-coding RNA is filed under the name Solanum tuberosum (potato). Its description in RNAcentral is "long non-coding RNA (STUB_LNC006201)". The record is from RNAcentral. Lineage: Eukaryota; Viridiplantae; Streptophyta; Magnoliopsida; Solanales; Solanaceae.
ACGGGCACAUGUUUCCUCUGUUUGUAACAGAACAACUCGACUCUUGGCCCAAGAGAGAGAUUCAUGAAAGAAAUUGGGUAUGCAAUAAUUCAUUCUAUUUGAAUUUUGUCGAAAUAUAAUCACAUUCCUCCGUUUGCAUUGAUAUUUUUAGAGAGUCCGAGCAACAUAGAAUUCCAGUACUUCUUUUAGUAGUACUCAAUGUUGGUUGGAAAUAACUAGCGCCAUAUAUAAAUACCUUCCCUGGAACAAUCAGCAGCGAAGCCUCAUAGACCAAAGGUUGGUUAGAUAAACAUCCUUCGAUUUAACCCAAAUAAUGCACAUCUCUAAACUUGAUAUUUAAGUGAGAAGAGUAGGAGAUGGACUCAUUAUCCUUUAAGUUCCAAGGUUGCAACAAAUCUAUCGAUAAAAAAAAAACUAAGGAACUAAUAAAGGUUGUACCUAUAUAUCAUUUAAGACUACAAAUGUAGAAAAAUUAAGGGGUCUUUUUCUUUGGCAGGAAAGAGAGAGGGAUAACCAUAAUGAUUGCGGUAGAGUCAUAAUUAUUCCUUCAUUCUUAACUAACAUUUUUGAUUCGAGCCUUGGAUAUUGAGUAGCCUUUGUUAAGAAGUGUUUUACUCUCAAUAUGAGACUUUAAUUUCUAUGCGAAUCUGAAUUAAGUCAUGCUCCUAUGCAAGCGCAGGAUACCGAGUAGAAUUAACUCACAAUAAUUUGAUUCAAUGGAGAUAUUUUCUAAGGUAGAAGUCUUUCUUUGCAGCUUCUUCCACUUAUAUUUUGAGCUGUCCUUUGUAUUCAUAUUACUGUGGACCCAUAGCAAUAAUUCAAUUCAAUUGGAGCAGACCCCAUCUUCCUGGAAACCUUUCAAAUUUCUCAUCGAAAAUAGAUUGAAUUUCUUAUAAAAAUAAUCUAAAUAAAACGAAUUGUGGUCCUUGUUUAUUUGAAAUGGUAAGACAGCAUCGUAGCAAUUUCUUUGUGACAGACAAAGCACUACGAAGACUAGACUUCAUUGCAUUUGAAGAUAAAUAACUAGUCAAAUGCAAUAAAAUGUAGGAAAUAUCUUGGAAACUCCAAUGUAAUAUGCACAUCAAUGGACCACUAAAAGUACAAGCAAAUAAAGGUAUAAAGAAAAAAGAAGGGCAAUUGCUUUGUCACCGACAACAUGACUUGACUUCAUCCAUUCAUUUUGAUCCAAUAGUAGGAAAACUACCUAAUAGAUUCACAAAAGAACUUGGGUAUGCAAUAAUCAAAGAAACAAAGAAAUAUUUUUGAAACUUGAUUUAAAAUAAUUUCAUUAAGGAGAAAAUAAACAUUUUAAAAUUAUUUUUUUAUUAAAUAUAGAAAUUUGUGUCAUUUUUCUUAGACAGACUAAAAAGGAAUACAUAUAAAUUUACAAGAGAGUACUUAAUUUUACAUUUUUUUCCAAGAUAAUAACCAAUCAAAAGCAGGGAUAUGGUCCAUUUUUUCUUAGAGUGAGUCCAUAACCAUAAACGAAAAGAAUUACUCCCUCUGUCCCAAUUUAUGUAGCACUUUUUGUUUUACGAGAGUCAAACAGUUUAAAUUUGACCGGGAAUUUGCACAUGAAAUCUUCAAUUUUUUUGAAAUGAAAUUUAUAUAUUUGUAAACUACGUAAAAAGUCUAUAAGUCACAACAAUUGAUAAUUCAAAAUGUUUAAAAGAUCUAUGAAAAAUUUACGGUCAAAAUUAGACUUGUUUUAAUCUCGAAAUCCAAAAAGUGCCACAUAAAAUGGGACGGAGGGAGUACUAGUUAAUUUCAAUAUUAAACCUAGUAUUUUUUUUGACAAAACCUAGUAAUUUUGACUCUCAACUUAAUUUUUUGAUUUAUUAUUUUUAAAAAAUCUAAAUCCAAAAAAAAAAAAAAAAAAAAACUUAAAAAUUCUCCAUUGUUAGGUAUAAUGAUAAUAACCCUUCCAUUUUUAACCAACUAUUUAGGGUUCGAGCCUUGAAUAUUGAGUAACCUUUGUUAUAGAGUGUUUUACCCUCUAUGUGAGACUUCUCGGCACAAAUCUGAAUCAAGUCAGGCCCCUAUGCGGGUACAAGAUAUCAAAUAGAAUGGUAGAAUUAACUCGCAAUAAUUCAAUUCAACUGAGAUAUUUUCCAAAGUAUAGUCUUUCUUUGCAGCCUCCAUUGUGUUCAUAUUACUGUGGACCACAUAGCAAUAAUUCAAUACAAUUGGAGUAGACCCCAUCUUCCUGGAAACUUUUCAUAUUGUUAUGUAAUUCAUAUUACUGUGGACCACAUAGCAAAAAUUGCGUUCUCUCUCUCUCUUGUUAUGUAAUUCUCUCCUUCUGUUUGCAACAAAGUCUUCUUUCAUAACCAAUAAAAAAAAAUUCCGUUCUUCUUUCUCCUAUACCAAAUUAAUCCUCCAUCUUGUCUCCGUUUGUGCUGAGCCAUCAUUAACCAUGGUGAGUUAAAGGAUGUGAACAAGUUUUAAUUUUUUAAGCUUUGCAUGUUGAAUAUAAAAUGGUAAGUAAAUAAGAGAUCUAAUAAUUGCACCUUUAUUGAUCCUCAAGUAAAGCAACCCUUUGGAAAUUAUUAUUCAUUCUAUGGAGAUUAUGUGAGAGAAUUAAAUUUCUAAGUUCCAAGAUACGAAUAUACAAAUCGCGUCUUUCUGCAGAUGUAUAUUCAACCGAUAUCAAGAUUUUACCGUGUUAUAAUUAAGUUCACAGAGAAAAGGCAAAGUGUAUUUCCCAAAGGUAGCAACUGAUCCACGGCUUUAAAACUUGCUACUAGUUUAUUUUCAUGCUCUUUUUGAUCGUUAUAUUUGGGGAAAUCUCUGCUUUAAAAACAAAAAAAAAAACUUUAUGGCAGACGACGGGUCAGUACUUUUAAUACUUCUGCAUCAAACAUUUUCAUGUCGAGAAAUACACUUUUGUAAGUAUUGCUCUCUCAGAUUGUUAUAUUAGCACAAAAUCUCUGUUUUAAAUACGUCUUUAUGCAGAUGUAUAUUCAACGGAUAUUAAAGAGGCAGCAUGACUUGAGAGAGUGAGGGAAUUGCAGAUGAGCAUUGGAACUAUUAGUAAGUCGCCUCACAUCACAAAGCUAACGGAGCCAAAGGGAACUAUUUCCAGGAAUCAAACGUAUUCCACUGGAGUCGGAAUUGUGUGAAUUAGAAUCAGAGUUGUCAAAAGAGAUGAACAUACCUAUCUUUUGCUAUCAGAUACAUUGAAUUUUCUCUUCUUUUUUUAAUAAUUCAUUUUGCUGGCAAAAGGAACUAAAUCACAUAUUUUUUUAGCAAAUUUACGCUAGACAGAAUAUGUAGAAGUCUUGCCUCAGAUAAAAUUUUAACUUGAAACAUCAUAUCGAUUUUAUUGAUAUCCAUUAAAACUCACCUUAGGAUCAAAACAUUUGUCAGCAGAAAAUAAAUUAAAUUAAUAAGAAUAAUCUAAAUAGAACGACAUAAAAUGAAACUCUACCUAACAAGUUGUGGGCCUUGUUUAUUUGAAACUGUAAGGUAAUGUCCAAGCAAUUUCUUUGUGACUGACCAAACAAAGAGAGUAGACUUUAUUGUAUUGAAGAUAAAUAAUCGGUCAAAAAAGCAUAUUUUAAUAAAUAUGUACAUUAGUAGAAGUACUUGUGGAGCAAUAAAAUUCGUAGCGGAGUUAUGAGUUUAGCGAAGUGUGUGUAAAUAUUUUUCUUAGUUAUGUUAAGGGUGUAAAAAAUUAAAUAUACACCUGUAAUAAUGGAGUAAUAUUUAAUCUCGUAUAUACCACAUAAUUUUCUAGCGAUAAGUGUGCACUAAACCACCCUUCACCUAAAGUGGCUCCGCCCAUUACAGUAAUUCCAUUUAACUUCUCCUAAAAUUUUAUUUCUUCUCAUUUGGGAUAUUCUUUUUUCUUUGAAGCUUCAGCCGCUUGUACUUUUAGCUGUCCAUUUUGUAGUCCAGAGCAUAAAGGGCAAGUUUUUUUUUUUUUUGCCAAAAUUCCAAAAGGGACAAUAAAAAAAAUUAAAGAGCAAAGGGAUAAAGGCACAUGAUCCCCACACCAUAACCCAAAUUUUUUAACGCGGUUAACAAUGUAAAAAGAAAGCCAUGCGUAUGGAUCUCACACCUAAUGGCGGAGCCGGAAAUUUUAUUAAGGAUGUCCAAAAAUAAUGGUGUGUGGCAGUCAAAAUAAAAUAAAAAAAAUAUUGUGCUAUUUGGGUUCAAACCCGAAACUCCAUCAUUCAAUUGGACACCAAUUACCACUGCGCCAAAGACAUAACUUUUAUCAAGAGUGUCCAACUUUAAAUAUAUAUCUUUUAAAUGUAGAAUUUAACAUAUAAAUACAAUGUAAUUUUUCGAAGAAGUAUGCACUUUUGUCGACAUGUUGUAUUGAAAUGCGUACCAUAACAAAAGGCUUGGGGGUUGUAUAUAUGUGUAUAUUUACUUUACUAAACACACCCCACAUGUAUUUAACUCCAUUUAUUAUUGAGGCUGGUUAACAAAUAAAAACAAAAUAUUAAACAAAAUAAUUAUAACCUUAAUUUCAGAAUUGAAUACAUAGAAACAUACCUAAUAUUAUUUGUAAUUUUUUGUUGAUUUUAGAAUGAUAAGGGAUUUUUUAGUUGAAGAAAUAAAAAAUAACCACAAUAAUCAUAUAUGUAUAUAUAAAGACUAGAAUCAAGAGCGAAAAACAUACUUGUGCAAGAUUUGAGAGAUGGGGAGAGUUUUUUUCCUUCAACAAAAAAAUAUGCUCAAAUUUUGGGGGGAAAAGUAAGAGAGGUUCAAGAUGAUUUCAACAAAGAAGAAGAUAAAAGGAUUUUUAGAAUUGAAAAUAAUAGGGAUUAGUGCCUUUUUAGUUGAGGUUUUUUUUAAAAAAAAAAAACUAAAAACAAAAAGGACAAAAGUUGUUGACUAUUGGACUUUAAAUGUAAAAGUAAAAAGUUGUUCUACUUUUUAUAGUUCCUAAGUAACUAAAAGGACAAAAGUUACUUGGGACAAAAUUGUGUGUGAAAAAACGAAUUAAAACUGAAAUGCGGCUAUAGGGAUUCGAUCCCGGGUUGGCUGGGAAAAUUGAACCCCCUCAGCCACUCGGCCAAGCUUCAACUUGUGUUAGUGGGUUCAAAAUUUAAUAUAUACAUAUAAAAUUUUAAAAACUGAUUAAAUAUACAUAUAUAUACAGUGUUAUUUUUCAACGAAGUGGGUUCAUAUGAACCCACUUGAACCACUGUAGGUCCGCCCCUGUAUAUAUGUGUAUAUUUACUCUACUAAAUACACCCCAAAUGUAUUUAACUCCAUUUAUUAUUGAGGCUGGAGUUGGGUGACCUUUUCCCAAUUUUUGUUGGAAUUCGUCAACUUCAUGCACAAUUGUUAGCACUCCACUUUAAUCCAUGUCACAAUCAAAUAUAAAUGUGUGGAAGGCGUGAAGAAAUUUCCUACUACUUACUAUGGGUGAGUAAUAUUCAAUGUAAAUGUACUAGUUGACUACUGGGAGGUGAAGAUACUCGUAAAACAAUUACAAGUUUUUUGUAUGAACUUUAAAAAUAAUCACCUUUUAGAUACAUAUGUGUCACACUUGAAUAUACAGUGUAUUUGAAACAGAUUACACCAAAUUUGACGUGCAUAUAUUUAAGAUACAUGUAUCUGAGUGCCCAGUUGAUUGUAUCUGACGAAGUAAAAAUAUGAUACGAAAGAUAAUUUCAGAAACUAAAAUAAAAAUACGUAAUUAGACUCUAAGCUAGUGGGAUUUGUAUUGUUUGGUCGUAAUAGUAAUAUGGUUCAAUUUUUCUUUGUGCAGAUGAAUAGUGGGUCCAUAACCAUAAAUGAUCUAUCGAGAAGCAAUAGAAAUUAGUAGAAAAAUAAUAUGUAUGGCUAAAACUUUCAUAAUAAUUAAUGCAAGACAUAAAGAAAUUUCCUAUUAAUAUUAUUAGUUGACUGGAAUGUUUAUUUCUUCUUUCCUCUAUAUAAUUAAUUUGUUCAUCAAUUGAUCGCAUCCGAUCCAUACACUUCACUUUUUCUUUUCAAACAAUUAAUUGAAUCUAUGGCAUCUUCUUCUGUGAGUAAUUCACAGAACUGUCCUCGAUGUAAAUAUUUUUCUUAGUUAUAUUAAGGGUGUAAAAAAUUAAAUUUACACUUGUAAUAACAGAAUAAUAUUUAAUUUUUAAUUUAGAUAUACCACAUAAUUUUCUAGUGAUGUGUGUGCACCAAACCACCCUUCACCUAAAAUGGCUCCACCCAUUACAAUAAUUUCAUUUAACUUCUCCUAAAAUUUUGUUUCUUCUCAUUUGGGAUACUCUUUUUCUUUGAAACUUCAUCCGCUUGUACUUUUAGCUGUCCAUUUUGUAGUCCAAAGCCUAAAGGACAAGUUUUUUUUGUUUUUUUUUUUUUGCCAAAAUUCCAAAAGGACAACAAAAAAAUUAAAGAGCAAAGGGGUAAAGGUACAUGAUCCCCACACCUUCGAACAUUUUUAACGCGGUUAACAUAUAACGUGUGAGGCCACGCCUUGUAAGGCGCAUGGCUCUCACACCUUCCUCCUAAGUGGAGCCCUCCCCUCACAAUCCCCUGUUGACACCCAAUUUUGGACCUCCACAAUAUAAAUUAAUAAUUUCGAGCUUCUUCAAUCUCAAACGAUUUAAAAUAAUUAGUUUUAUAAAAAUUCAAAAAAAAAAAUCAAGUUAUUUUAAAUAGUUUUGUCACUUUUUAUAAUUUUUAGAUAAUAUAUAUGUUUUAUCUAAUUAUGUAUAUAAUUAGUAUAUUUUAUGAAUAUUCAAAAAUUGUCUCAAAAGAUUUUAGUUUUACUUAAAUAGUUGGUUAAUUGGUUUAGUUAAUUAAUACUUAUAUUCUUGAGUUAUUAGUUUAUAGAUUAGUAAGUUAUUUUAUUUCGUUGAAACUAAGAAGCUCGUUAAUUAAUCAAUAUUAAUUCAUCAUAAUUAAAUUUUAGUCAAAUUCCCUAAGUUAAACUCAAUAUGGCUAACUUCUUAAUUUCCAUUGGCCAUAAUUGCAAUUCAUGUGGCCAUUUCCUAUUUUCAAAUCCAACUAUCUUUUUAUCCCACUUCUUGGACCAUUUUUCAGCCCAUUCCCAAUCCUUUUCAGCAACCUUCCAGCCGGCCCAAAUCCCCAUUAGCAGCCCACCAACUCAAUUCCAGAAACCCAUUCCAGCAAAUACAUACAGCAUACCAAAACAACCCAUUCUCCAUACAUAAACCCAUUUCAAUACCCACACCAACAAUACAAACGGGUACCAAAUACCAGACCCCUGUAUGCAUUUUUCUUCUUCUUCCGCGUCCACCGAAACCCAGAAAUCCCACCAAAGCCGGCGAGAAAUCAGCGUGAAAUGCAGACUCGUCACAUCAAUCGCAUCUCCAAGCAGCGCCAACAGUGCUCGCCCAUACUCUUCGUCUUCCUUUUCUGCUUCAACAGUAUGAUUUGUUCAAAAAGCAGUGCCAGAUGGAGUAAUCUCGGCGCUUCACUCAUCCUGGCAUCAAGAUCAGCGGAUACAAUUCUCAAUCCGUUGAGAAUUGGUACUAUUCUAGUUGUUUCCGUCUUCCAAGAUUUGGAAUUUCAAAAUUUGAAAUUUAUCCAAUCCACCGAGUUUCCCCACUAAAUCGUCCAUUUGUUUUCCUAUAAAGAGUUCUAUACCUUCAGUGAUUAGGGGACAGAGGUUAAGAAAUUGGGAUUUUGAGGUCAUAUAGGAAAAUAGCUUACAAAAGAACGACUCUCGGAUUUGCUUAGCUCGCUUUUAUAUUCGAAGUUUGUGGUAAAAGAAUCGCCCUUUCAGGCUCGUUGUUAUCCUAGUUUCGCUGCACUUCGAAAGGUAAAUGUUAUUUCGGUUCAUGUCUUUUAUUUUCUGAUGUGUUGAUAUGUUGGAUUCUUGGCCGUGUGAAGCAUUUAAAUGUUAAAAUUUUCAGAUUGUUUUUUUUUUUAAAACUUAUUUCGGCUGCAAACCAGUGGCAAAGCUUUGCCUAUCUUGAAUGUUGAUUGUUUGGUUGUUCGCUUGAAUUCUUGAUGAGUCCGUUCGGUCUCGAGUUCAUCCCUCCCCAUGUCUGUUUUGGACUCUCUUUUCUUUUUGUCUUGGAUCUUAUUGAUUCUGACUCUCACAUAUUCGUAUUGAUUUCAUUUUCAAGAGGUUAUCUUGUUAAGCUUAGUUUCGAAAUUUCGGAUCGAUCAUAAUCGCUUGCCAUUGUAAUUAGUUUCAACUUGUUAGGAUUAUCAAAACUACAUGUGCCUGAACUUUACUUGAACUAUGUAUUUGAUUUGUCUUCAAGAAUGUGCAAUUUUAUAAAAAAUAAAUAAAUUUACGUCUACUCUUUUGUCCCUUUGCGUUAUUAGGAACCUGCAAAUGACCAUUUGUUUUAUUUUUCAUGUGUACAUGUAUGUGUCUUGAAUUUUCUCUAGGCUUAGACUUUUGAUAGUUUAGUGUUAGAAAUUUAUUUUUUCUAUCCUAAUUCUAAAGUCCUCCAUGCUUAGUUUCUUAAGUAAGGUUAACAUUAAAAUGGACCAUAAUUGUUUGGUUGAUACAUAGUUAUUCAUCUCUUUUAUUUUGGCCAUGGAUGAAUUGAUCAAUAGUGACUUUGUUCAAUUAUAUAUGCAAGCAUGUGGUUAAUAUUUCCUCAAAUGAAAAAUGUUCUUUCAUUUCUUGAAUAUCAUCAUUGUUUAUUGUUGAUACAUUAGAAGUGCUUAUUACCCAUCAAGUUGCAAAGUAUUUGAAUCCUUGUUUUUCCACUAAAAUUAGGAUUAGUCUUUCUUUUUCUUUUAUCAUAAGUGAUCCUAUUUACAAUGUGAAUUUAAUCGUUGUAUAUGUGAUUGGUUAAGUCACAUGUUUGUCCCUUUAAAUUGGUAUGUUAGAUAAAGAAAUCACUAUUAUCGUUCCUAUUUGUGAUGCACAUGAUUUUCAUUUUUCAUCUUUAAAAUCUCGAUAGGUUGCGAACAUAUAAGUAUUAGUUCAGUGUUGCAAUGAGUUGGGCCCCUUUUCCUUUUUUUUUUAAAUUUUUUUCUCUUUGAUUCCAUAUGUAAAUGAUGAAGUUUGGGGUGGAUGUUUUGAGUUCACUAUCGCAUGUCAAUUUACUCAUCCUUGCUUCAAUUCUCCUUUAAUUACAAGUUGGAUUGCCCAUUAAUUUAGAAGCCUUCCUGGUAGUUUGUUGAUUUCUUAAAGAUGAAUUGUGAAUAUUAAGAGUCAUAUCUAGCUAGAUACACUAAAUGAUAGUUUCACACCAUAGAUACACUAAAUGAUUGCAAUUUUAUUUAGCAAUCAAUUCAUUUAGUUCACUGUUGACUUUUAUGUACAUCAUUUAGUUAAUAUUAUAUUAUAUAUUCAUCUAGUUAAGAAGCUUUCUAUAUGGCCUAAUUUUACUUUAAUAAAAUUUAGGAUUAGUAUAGUUCUUUAUCUUUAGAUGUAUGUUGAAUAUGUAAUCUCUAUCGGUUGAUGUUCAAGUUCAUUGUGGUGCUUUAUUGAUUUUGUUUUAUUUUAUUUUAUUUUCUCUCUGAUCAUUUGAAAAAUAUUGCAUUAGUAUAUAGUGGACAUUUGAGGAGGACUAUUUUGUCAACAAUAUUAAUGCUCUUAUUCAUUCUGUUAAACCUUGUUGCUACCUUUCUUUAGGCCUUGCUCCUUAUUAAGAUAGUGUUGUAGGUUCAAAUUCUUAAAAUUGGUAUAUCCAUGUUGGUUAGUCUAUUUUACAUUAAUUAGAUUAAGCAUGAAUUUUGGCAUAGCAAUAGAUUCAAAAUGAGUUGAUGAAGCUUGGCAUGUGGCUUUGAUAGGGCACCACCAUGCGACUUAGAUUUAUUAAAGGAUGUGUUGUGCGAAUACUCGUUUUCAAUAAAUGUAGUAAAUUUCUUUAAAUUAGUUUGCUUGUUUAGUCAAAUGAUAUCCUGUUUGGUCUUGUAUCUUAGAUAUUUACCUUCUUACAUCCCAUUGAUUGCACAUUUAAUUAUUGUUUAUGACAAUUCUAAUUUCUUAUCAUCCUUUUUAUUGCAUGUGAAAUAUGUCCGAGCCCUCAUGGGCUUCCACCCUCUCGUUGCAUUCGAUGAUUGGGCCAUAGGGGCCCGAUUUUUCUUUUCUUUAAGUCAGCCGGGUCAUCUGAAUAGGGCUGUACAGGGGCUGGAAAUUGAAAACAAGUCUCAGAAAGCUGAAAAAAGGCUGAGAUACAGCUUGUAUACAUUGAUAUAUAUCGGUAUACACUCAUAUACAGGUCGAAAAAUGUGAAAAUACAUGUCUGAGGCGAAAUAUAGGCAUUCGGAAGCAAGAGAUACAUGAAAAAAGCAAAUAUGUAUGCUCAUAUACACUGAUAUACAUCAGCUGUAUACCAAAAACGGGUUUGGUUAAACCCCAAAAAAUACCAACGAAAUUGGCCCAAAAGGGGGCCCGAAUUCAAUUUCUCCCUUACUCUUUAAUUACCUAAUUGUGAUUAUUUAUUGUUUGUUGUUUAACUCUAACUUUAUAAUUGUAAAUUAACUUAGUUGAAUUCCCCAAAAGACGAACUAUUUCUCUGUGUUGUUGUAUUUCUAACAAAUCUCAUUUUAUCAACUCUUGUAUUUUCAUUUAUAAUCUUUAGUCAAAACUUUUUUUAUUAUUAUUAUUUUUAUUAGUUUAAAAUAGUUUUUCCAUAAACCGAAAAAUGACUCAAAUAAAAGACAACUAAUUUAGUUUCGUUAAAAUUUUAAUUACUUGUCUCUAAUUCACAUAUUUCAAUUAAGGUCCCAUUUGCUUAAAAAAUAAAAAUUGCUCUUUGUUUAACUACUUUCUCAAAGUUAAUCUAGCAGUGUAAAUUAUUAUUAUAAAUACUUACUUAGUCAUUUCUCAAAAAUGUUAGUCAAAAUAUUUUUUCUUCAAUUAAUUUAAAAUGAUUUUCAUGCUUUAAUUAUUAAAUUGGCUUAAAUUAUUUAUUUUAAAGUGAAUUAAAUAAAUUAUAAUUAGUCUAGUUUUAUUAAUAUUCUAAUCAUUUGUAUUUCGACUCAAAUGUUUUAUUUUGGAUACCUUUCUCUAAAAAAUAAAAAUGAAAUAAAAGUGUGUCAUUUAUUUAACUAUUUUUUUUCAAAGUUAACAAAAUAUUGUAAAUUAUUAUUCUUAUGUUAAAUCACAUUUUCCUAAAAAAUAGUCAAAAAUAUUUUAGUCAAGUCACAGGUCAACCGCAUGUUAGCGGACACUUCGAAUGCUUAAACCCUUCUCGAAGUGUAAAUUGAACCCCGAAUCCUCUUUGCUAUUUUCAAAUGAUUUUUUCUGUUUAAAUCUUUGAAAAUUAUAAGUUUUCUUAAUUUCUUUAAAAAAUUAAGUGGCGACUCUUUCUAAGUAUUUUUCUUUUAGUGUUUUACACUUAGAACAUUUCAAAAAAGUACAUUUUUCUAGAAAUAGUUAAAUUACGGCACAACACCCCCCGCCCCCUCCCCAUACUCCCUUUAUUUCUUUUUAGUUGUCAGUAUUUUUCGAGAGUUAAUUUGACUAAUUUUAACAAUUAAAUUAAAUUAUAUUAAUUUGAUAUUUGAAUUAACUAAUUUUAAAAAUUAAAUUAAAUUAAUUUGAUAUUUAAAAAUAAAAAUUUAGAUAUUCAAACCACUAUAAAAAAAAAAUUGUAUCAAAACUUUUUGUUGGAAUUCGUCAAAUUCAUGCACUCGUCAGCACUUAAAUCCAUGUCACAAUCAAAUGUGGAAGGCGUGAAGAAAUUUCCUACUACUUACUAUGGACGACUAAUAUUCAAUGUAAAUGUACUAGUUGACUAGUGGGAUGUGAAGAUACUUGUAAAACAAUUACUAGUUACUUGUACAAACUUUUGACAAGGAGGAGAAUAAUCACCUUUUAAAUUGAUAAAAGGUUAAAGCAUGGCGAUACGAUCCUAGAAGAACUCUUGAAAGCUUUCAAAUACUCUCAAGUUGCCCUCGUUAUUUCCCUUAAAUAAAAGGAAAGAUAUACGUUCUUUUCUAAGCGGACUGAAAAAUAAAAAAAUAAAACAAUCAAAUUGAAAUAAAAUGAGUAUUUUCUAUUUCCAUCUAGAGGUGACAAAUUUCUUUGUUUGAUACAAAACAACUAGAUUCUUGGCUUGAGAAAUAGAUUCGAAAAGAAGUUGGGUACACAUUAAUCCAAUCUUCUUGAACCUACAGAUAUCUAUAUAACUCUUGUUUUAAUAGAAGUGAUGUGACACCUCUUUUGGAACCAAUGUAGCUCAAGUGGUCGAGCAACUAUUGAUAUAGGGGUGUAUAUCGUUUGUUUUUCUGUCAUUCUUUCUGGGAUUGGUUAAAAAGGAAAGUGAAUCAUAUAAAUUGAAACAGAGAAAUUAGUUAAUUACAAUUUUUUCCAAAUAAUCUAUCUAUAUAUAAUAGGAGAGGAAAAAACGCAUACGUGUCAACACCACAAAAUUUAUAGAUAUAUUAAAUAAAAAACAAUUUAAAAAACAAAACAGUUCAAAAAUAAAACAUAAAUUAAAAACAGUUUUUAAAAUUUGUUUACGUUAACUACACCAAUUCUAACAAACUAAUUGUAUAACUUCCUGCGUUAUUCAAAAAGAAAAAAAUAUAUACUAGGACAAAAUCCAACUUUUACCACUUGGAAAUUUUAAAGAGUUAAAUUAAAUUUAAAGUUAUUUUUUUAAAAAAAGAAGAUAAUAUCAAAAAAAUAAGAAUUUUUAAUAUAUAUAUAUAUAUAUAUAUAUAUAUGAGAGGUGAUAGCGCUUACGUGUCAGCACCACAAUUAAUCUCUACUUUUUAACUUUUAAAUUAUCAAUUAAUUCAAUAUAAUUAAUUUGUUUUUUAAUAAAGAAAAUAAGUUACUAUUUUAGAAGAUAAGUUAGAGUUUUUCACUUAAUAAAAAUUGUUUGUUCUUUUUUUAAAAAAAACGUGUUAUUCUUGAAUUUUGAGUUUGAAAAAAAAUAAUUAAAUUGAUUAAUAAAAAUUAUCUAUUUAAUAAAUAACAAUAAUAAUAAUAAUAAUGGUAUAAUUUUUUUAAAAAAAACAUCCAACUGAAUAGUCUAUUUUAUAAUAAUAAUUUGAAUUUAUAAUUAAAUUAACUAAACUAAUUUAAAAUCCGAAAAUAAAAGAAAAAUGAAAAAUUACAAACGAAAAAGGAAAAAAAAUUGAAAACACGAUUUUGAGUUUUUUUUUUUUUAAAAAAAAGUCUAACUUCCCACGUUUUCUAAAAAUAAAAAAAAUACAUAUUAUGGACAAAAUCAAAAUUUUACAACUUCUCAAUUUUAAAUAAUUAAACUUAAAUUUAUAAUUAAAUUAGCUAAAUUAAUUUAAAAUCUUAUUUAGAAUAAAAUUAGUGGGAUCAGUUUAAACUUUAGAUAAAUAUUGUUAUCUUUUAAAUUUUGAGUUACAAAAAGGGCAGUAGUGUAAAGGUAACUAAUUAAAAUUAGAUAAUUAAUUUGAAAAUAAAUAACAGUUAUGUGGUUUGAAUUUUGAAAAUUCCACUAAAUCUAUAACUGUUAUGUGGUUUGAAUUAUGAAUUUGAUUUUAACUUCAUUAAAAAGAUAAUAUAUUUAUGACAGUUUUAAUAAGGCAGUUUUAAUAGUGAUUUAUGAUCGUUUUAUUAUAAAUUUUAAAUGCUUAUAAAAUCAAAAAAGAUAGAGCAGCGUUGGAAACCACCACUCCUCCUACUUCCCCUGUUCCCCAUUCUCUUCUCUCACUUUCAUUUUUUUCUCACGGAUUUUUUUUUUUUGCUUUUUAUUUUGUGGUGAUUGGUUGAAUUUUUAUGUAAUUAUCAUCCAAAUAAUUGUUCAUAUAGCAUAAUUGAUCAUUAUUUCUUAUUGAAUUAUUUGUAGAUAGUGUUAUUUCUAUGUGAAGAUAAAAUUUCAAUUCUUAUUUUUAUUCAUUAAUUUAAUUUGUAUUUUAUUUUAUUGUUAAGUUCAAGAAUUUGUGAUUACUGAUUAGUUUUGCAUCAAUUUUAUCUGAUAUCUCCGAAGGGAUGAUUUAGUUUUAUAUCAGUACUGACCAUUUGAAUUUUGGAUGGUUGUUUCCACAUAAAAUACACAAAAAUGAAUGGUUAAUCUCAAAAUCAAGUGCUUAGCCGAUAAUUCUUCAUAAUGAUGAAGAUCUUCUCAAUUCCGGCAUUGGCUUUUCUUUUCGAUUGUGAUGGUAAAUGCAAAUUCAUUUCCUAUUACUCAUUUUCAUAUAUCAGGUAAAGAAGUGAUCAUGUACAAAUUUCUCUAUUAAACAAUUGUACCAUUUUAAAAAUAUAUAUAUUCUCACGUUUAAAAAAAAUACAUAUAUAACUACCCCAAUAAUGUUCUGCUAAAGUUUAGGAAUAACACAUUUAUGUUUAUAUUUAAAUAAAUUUUAAAAAACAAAUCAAUUUAGCCUAUUGUUUUGUAAAUUAUAUUACGAUAAAAUAUCUGGUAGAUAAUUGCAUGUACAAGUAAUGAUGCUAUAAUUUAGGUUUUUAAAAUAUAUUGAGUUGAAUACUUUUAUUCAACAACGUUAUCUACUUAGCACUCUCAUUAAGCAAAAAUAUUAGUAUUAUAAUGGUAAUGAUGAAUUCAAAGAAAAGAAAUGACAUCGCAAUUGAUUAUUCCCUCCCCAUGAUAACAAUAAUUAUAAAAAUAUAUUUCCGAAAAUUUUGAUACAAUUAUAUGUUUUUUUGAAAUAUAAUAUAAUUGAUAUAUGAUUUUAUGAAAAAUUGACAAACAAACUUUAAAAAUUUGAAUAGCAUGCCUAUAAUUUGAUAGUCAAGUGACUAAAAUUUCUUAGUUUUAUGUUUAGCAUUAUCAUAAUCGUAGAUCUUUACUGUCAUUAGUGUUGUUAAGUAAUACAAUGAUCGGAAUAAUCUAAUGCCUUCAUCAAAAAAUUUAACUUCUUUAGCAUUAUCCAUGAGAAAAUACCACUUGCAAUUUUGAUAAUAUUAAAAACAUCUCUAUUCGUACUUUGGGACAAAUUUAAAAUCAUAAUUUAGUAUUAAGUAAGAUAUUAAUACGUUAACAUACAAAAAUAUAAAACUUAUAAAAUAUCUUAGUGCAAAAAAUGUUCAAAAGAAUACAAAUAAUUUGCAAAUGUUUUUACUUUGAAUUCAAGUAAAAAAAAACAAUAAAGAGUGUCAAUAAUAACAAUAAACUUAUAAUAUUUAAAAUAUUAUUAAAAUUAAAUAAUAUUUUAUAAUGAAAAUAUAUAUAUUUAUUUGUAUUAUAUAAAUAGAAGAUUAACGAAAAAGAAUAUUAAGGCAAGUGAUAAGUUAAUCAAAAUUUAGUCGAUAAUGUUAUGAUUUUAAGUAGUUAAUAAUAAUGUAGUAACGAACAAACGCAAAGUAUAUUGUACAAGUUAUUAAAUGAUCAUGUGAUUUGUUCUUUCAUUUCAUAUAUAUAUAUAUAUAUAUAUAUAUAAUACUAAUACUAAUAAUAAUAAUAAUUUUUUAUAUUAUCCGCGCAACGCGCGGGAACGUAUACUAGUAAUCAAUUAAAAGCAGGGAUAUGGUCCAAUUUUCCUUACAGUGAUCCUAAACCAUAAAUAAAAAGAAUUAUUAGUUAAUUACAAUUAUUAAAUGGGAGAUUGAAUAAUAACAAUGAUUCUGGUAGAGUCAUAAUUAUUCCUUCAUUCUUAAUUAAAUAUUUUGAGUUUGUGCCUUGAUUAUUGACUAGUCCUUGUUAGGAAGUGUUUUACCCUCGAUAUAAAACCUCUCCACACGAAUCUGAAUUAAGUCAGGCAUCUAUGCAGAUACAUAAUACUAAGUAGAACUAACUCACAAUAAUUUGAUUGAACGGAGAUAUUUUUCAAGAUAUAGCCUUUCUUUGUAGCUUCAUGCACUUAUAUUUUGAGAUGUCCAUUGUGUUCAUAUUACUGUGGAACCCAUAGCAAUAAUUCAAUUGGAGUAGACCCCGUCUUCCAAAUUUUUGCAAGAUGUAAGAGCUCAAAUAUUAUACUCUAGAAGCAUAAUCUCCAUUCAUAUUCAGGGUAGAAGCUUAUGAAUCGGAGUUGAUCCAGAAGGACGUAGUAGUGAUAGGAGUGUAUUGCAUGUAACUUAUUUUAGAUAUACGUUUCUUGUUAAUAAAUAUCUGACUUGAUAUAUGAAGGAUUGAUGUAUGACAUAAUACAUUGGCGUUAGGUUCAGAAACUAAGUGAUCUUAGCAAAAAUGCAUAAGCUACUUAAAUGUUAUUUGGAAUAUGCUAAUAGUAAUUUUUUUGGUAUUGUUACUUGAGUAACUCUUUUCAUAAAAAAAAUUGGCAAAAUGAACUAAAUCACCUAUUGGUUAUUGCCUCUGAUAAAAUUUGAACCUGAAAUAUCAUAUCGACUUUAUUGAUAUCCAUUAGAAAUUAUUUCUCAGUUGAAAAUAAAUUGAAUUAAUAAAAUAAGCUAAAUAGAAUGGCAUAUGAAAUUUUUCUCAAUAAAUUAUGAGGCUUGUUAAUUUGAAACAAUAAGGUAAUAUCCUAGAAAUUUCUUUGUGACCGACAAAACAUGAAGACUAGACUUCAUUGCAUUGAAUAUAAACAACCAGUCAAAAGCAAUAAAUGUAGAAAAUUUUUAGGAAACUCUAAUGUAUAUCCACACAAUGGACCACUAAAAAUUGAAGUACAAGCACAUACUAGUGCAAAGAAAAAAGAAGGGCAAUUUCUCUGUCAUCGACAAAGCGACUUGACUUCAUCUGUUCAUUGUGAUGAAAGGUAAAAAUCCAUCAAAAAUAGUAGGAGAAAACUAUUUAAUUACACAAACAUUUCUACCAUAAUACUAGUAACAGAUUGAGAGAGGCCAGCGAAAAAGGGAGAAAGACGAGCGAGAGAGGAGAAAGGCGAGAAAGAAAGUCAACAUAUAUCUUUUGAUAUUAGAUACACAUAUUUUUUUAAUACUAGAUAUAUUAUGAAAUACAAAUACAUAGAGAGAGGGAAAGAAAGAGAGUCAGUAUAUCUUAGAUACAUAAGAGUCACACUUGAAUAUACAAUGUAUUUGGAACAAAUUAUAUCAAAUUUGACCCGCAUAUAUUUGAGAUACAUGUAUCUGAGUGACUUGUAUCUGGCGAAGUAAAUAUGGUACGAAAGAUGAUUUUAAAAUCUAAAAUAAAAUACGUAAUUAGACUCUAAACUAGUGAGAUUUGUAUUUUUUGUUCGUAAUAGUAAUAUGGUCCAGUUUUUCUUUGUGCACCAACCAUGACAAGAUUUCAAUAACAUAAACAAUGGAAGAAUUCAAAUGUAGUCUCUAUUGAUGCAUGUCUACUGUCAAAUUUACACAGUUUGUGAAUAGGAAUCACUGAAAAUGGUUAAUCAUUGAGAGUGUGCUGAAGUAUUCUAUGACAUCUUCCGACUAAUUGCAUCAUAUGAGAGGUAUUCAUCAUGCUUAACUCUAGCAAUAUGAAUUGUAACAGAGUAAUAAGCUGAUGAUAGAUGUUUGUGUAGCUAUAAAUCAUUUCAUUAAAGAUAAAAUGAGUAUUUUAAAGUUAGAUUGUAAUUAAAUAUAGAAGAAUAAUGACUAAAAGGGAUGACAUAUAAAUUCGGAAAGAAAAAGUAAUUAAGGAAUCAAAACAAUUAUUAGUAACAAUUUUCUUAGAGUGAGUCCAUAACCAUAAAUGAAAAGAAUUAUUAGUUAAUUACAAUUUUAAUUUUGAUUCGAAUCUGAUUUAAGUCAUGCCCCUAUGCAGGUGAAGGAUACCGAGUAGUAGAAUUAACUCGCAAUAAUUGAAUUUACCGGAGAUAUUUUUCAAAGGUACAGUCUUUCUUUGCAGCUUCAUCCACUUAUAUUUUGAGCUGUCCAUUGUGUUCAUAUUAUUGUGGACCCCAUAGCAAUAAUUCAAUUCAAAUUGGAAGAUCCCAUCUUCUAAAUUUUGCAAGUGUAGAGCUCAAAUAUUCAACUGAUGAAGCAUAAUUUCCAUUCAUAUUCAUAAUAGAAGCAACUUAUGAAUCAGAGUUAAUCCAGAAAGCGGAUUAUUAAGUAAUUCAGAGCAUUGAGUUUAGAAUAACGAAAAAAAAGACGUAGUAGCAAUAUGAGUGUACGUAUUGUUUGUUUUUUAUUUUAGAUAUAUGUUUCUUAUUAACAUAUACCUGACUUGAUAUCUGAAGGAGUAAAUAUGACAUAAUACACUAGCCUUAGGCUCGAAAACUAAAGUGAUCUUUGAAAAAUGCAAAAGCUACUUCACUAUUAUUUGAAAUAUACUAAUAGUAAUUUUAUAGUAUAUAGAAAUAAGGAAUUACAUGAUGUUAUAAUCUCGAUUUUCCGAAGUCUUUGUACGGUAAAGUUUUUUUAUAUAUUUUUUUUUCUUUUUCAAAUUUUAUGAUAGUAGAGGUAUCAUCUCGAUUAUUUUAUUAAUAUUUCUACUUGAGUAAAUCUUUUUAAUCAAGAUUUUUACAAAAAGAACUAAAUCACCUAAUGAUUAUUGGUAUUUGGAUCUGAAAUAUCAUACCGACUUUAUUGAUAUUCAUUAAAACUCACAUUUGGAACAAAAUAUUAGUAUUAAUUAGAUGUUUUAAAAUAAAAUUUAGAUAUUUAAAAACUAUACAAAAUAUAAUCUAAAUUUUAACUUUUUUCAUAAUAUGAUGACAAAAAUACAUUUUAAAUGUUAAUUAAAAUUCAUAUUGUUUGACUUUUUAAAAAAAUGGUGACAAAUAAAAAGGAAAAGAAGAAAUAUUAAAGAGUAUACACUUUUGUCGAAAUGUUAAAUUGAAGUACGUACAAUAUUUACUGGAAUAUUCAUAUUUACUCUACUAAUUAAACACACCCCAAAUGUAUUUAACUCCAUUUAUUACUGAAGCUGGAGUUUGGUGACCUUUUCUCAAUUUCUGUUGGAAUUCGUCAACUCAAUUCACAAUUAAAUAUAAAUGCAGAGAAUUAAGGCGUGGCUCCACGUAGAGAGAGGGUGAGAAAGAGAGUCAGUGUAUCUAAAAUACAUACGUGUCACACUUGAAUAUAUAGUAUAUUUGGAACAAAUUACACCAAAUUUGACGCGCAUAUACUUAAGAUACAUGUAUCUGAGUGCCUAGAUGAUUGUACUUGGCGAAGUAAAAAUAUGGUACGAAAGAUAAUUUCAAAAACUAAAAUAAAAAUAUGUAAUUAGACUCUAAGCUAGUGGGAUUUGUAUUAUUUGGUCCUAAUAGUAAUAUGGUCCAAUUUUUCUUUGUGCAGAUGAAUAGUGGGUCCAUCCAUAACCAUCAAUGAUCUAUCGAGAAGCAAUAGAAAUUCAAAUUAGUAGAAAAAUAAUAUGUAUGGCUAAAAUCCCAUUGGAUUUCUGGAGCUGAAACUUCUCAGAAUAAUUAAUGCAUUGACUAAGUAGACAAAAAGAAAUUUCCUAUUAAUAUUAUUAGUUGACUAGAAUGUUUAUUUCUUCUUUCCUCUACAUAACUAAUUUGUUCAUCAAUUGAUCUCAUCCGAUCCAUACACUUUAGUUUUUCUUUUCAGACAAUUAAUUGAAUCUAUGGCAUCUUCUUCUUCUGUGAGUAGUCCUCGAUGCAAGUACGAGGUCUUUCUAAGUUUCAGAGGCGAAGAUACCCGGAGAAAUUUUAUGAGUCACUUGUACCAAGGUUUGAAAAACAGGGGAAUAGUCACCUUUCUAGAUGAUAAAAGGCUAGAGGAUGGCGAUUCCAUCUCAGAAGAACUCAUGAAAGCGAUAGAAGAGACUCAAGUUGCCGUAAUCAUUUUCUCAAAGAAUUAUGCUACGUCAAGUUGGUGCUUGAAUGAACUAGUGAAGAUUAUGGAAUGCAAGAAGAAAGAAAAUGGACACAUGACAGUUAUACCGGUCUUCUGUAAUGUGGAUGCAUCACAUGUUCGAUACCAAAGUCAGAGCUUUAAAGAAGCAUUUGCCAAACAUGAAUCGAGGUAUAAGGAUGAUGAUGCGGGAAUGCAGAAGGUGCAACGAUGGAGAACUGCCCUAACUGCUGCCGCAGAUCUAAAAGGAUAUGUAUUCCCUAGCAGGUCAGUUAAAAACACAAAUUUAAUUCUUCUUUUUUGUACACAUAGUUAUAUUCUACUAUAGAACAAAUAAUUUGUACUCAAAACAGAAUCUUAAAUAAUUAUAUUAGCAUUAUUUUUAUUCUUCUUUUUUUGCAGGGGUGAGUCAGAUGCAGACUGUAUUAAGGGUAUUGUUGAUCAAAUUUCGUCUAAGUGCAAUACUUCAGUAUCUUAUUUGCAAGACGUUAUGGGUUUAGAUACUCAAUUAAAGAAAGUAGAAUCCCUACUAAAGAUGGAAAUCAAUGAUAUUGAUCGGAUUGUGUGGAUCUGGGGUAUGGGAGGCAUCGGUAAAACGACAAUAGCAAAGAAAAUUUUUUAUGAGCUCUCGUCCAAAUUUGAAGUUGUUUGUUUCCUUGAGAAUAUCAAAGAAAACAAACACAAAAUACACUCUCUCCAAAAUAUCCUUCUCUCUAAACUACUAGGGGAGAAAGAAAAUUGCGUGGAUAAUAAGGAGGCGGGGAGGAGCAUGUUGUAUAAGAGACUUCUGCUAAAGAAGGUUUUAAUUGUGCUUGAUGACAUAGAUCACAUAGACCAGUUGGAAUACCUAGCAAAGGAUCUCAGUUGGUUUGGCAAGGGUAGCAGGAUUAUUGCAACCACUAGAGAUCAACAUUUGAUAGGGGAAAAUGACGUAGUAUAUGAAAUGGAAACACUACUUGACCGUGAUGCUAUUAAAUUGUUCAAUCAAUAUGCUUUCAAAGAAAAAGUUCCAAAUGAGUGUUUUAAAGAUCUAACGUUGGAGAUAGUAAGUCUUGCUAAAGGCCAUCCUUUAGCCCUGAAAGUAUGGGGUUCUUCAUUACACCGGAUGAAUAAAACUGAGUGGGAAAGUGCCUUGGUCCAAAUAAAGAAAAACUCUGGUGUAGAAAUUACUGAAAAUCUCAGAAUAAGUUAUGAUGGGUUGGAGUCCGAACAACAAGAGAUAUUUCUAGAUAUAGCAUGUUUCUUUCGAGGAAUUGAAAAAGAAAAAGUCAAGCAAGUUCUUGAGAGCUGUUAUUCUAGACCAGAAUUUGGAUUGCGUGUUCUAGUUAACAAAUCUCUCGUGUCCAUCUCUGAAUAUGGUAAGAUUGAAAUGCAUGACUUAAUACAAGAUAUGGGUAAAUGUAUAGUGAAAAAGGGAAAGCAUCUGGGAGAACAUAGCAGAUUAUGGAAUGUUAAAGAUUUCAAAGAAGUGGUGGACAACAAUAUGGUAAGUAGGCUAAACAAUGCAAUAAUAUUCAAUUUUACUUUUCAUAUUCCAAAGACAUAUAGAAUAUAUAGUCAAUUUCAUUUAUUUACUCAUCUUUAUUUAUAUUCUAGCACGUAUGUCAUUUUGGUGAGUUAUUACUUUAAGGGAACAAGACCUGAUAUAUCUCUUAACUUUGUCAUUUGGAUUUGAUAAGCCUUUCGUUUUGAAAGUGACUCACAUAUACCCUUAUUGUUAUACAAACGGCUCACAUAUACCCCUACGUUACAAAAUGAGCUCAUAUAUAUCCUUCAUUUAACGAGAGUGAAAAAUUAGUUUUAAAUUUAUAUAUUUAAAUUUUAUUUUUAAAAACAAAAUUAUUUAGGGGUAUAUAUGAUCAUUCUAGCAAGAUUCAAUGUAUAUUUUAAUCUUUUUCAUAAAUGAAUUAUUUUUUGACUUCUUUGAUUAUCAUUAUUUGAGUUUCUUGUUCUUAUUUUAUUUUUUUCUUUCAUUCCUUAAUGUAAAGAAAAAAAUUAAAACUAUUUUUUGUGGCUAUAUUAUAAUUUAAAAAAUUAUUUUUCAGCUAUAUUGUAAUUUAGUUUUUGUAUUUAGAAAACAAAACUGUGUCAUCUAUAAUAAAUUUUACAAAAAUAUUAGUGAAACAUAAAUAAAUUUGACCAUCAAAAUAAUAAAUCUAAAUUAGUCAUUGAAACAAAAAAGGUCAAAAAAAAUAUAUGUUUGAGGAUGAUUAUGUAUACCCUUAUGGAAUUAUAUUUUUUUUAAAACAAAAUAAGUAAAAAAUUAAAUUAAAAUUAUUUUUUCACUUUCGUUAGAGGAAAAGGGUAUAUGUGAGCCAUUUAUAUAACAAUAGGAGUAUAUAUUAGCACUUUCAUAACGAAGGGUAUAUCAACUCUAAAUGACAAAGUUGAGAGAUAUAUCAGAUUCUUUUCCUUUACUUUAUUAAUAAUAGAAGCAAAAAUAACAGUAGUUGCCUAAGGUAGCUAAUUCGUCAAGUAUUGAUUUUUAGUUAACGUUGCCUAAUUCGUUUAUGUUAUGCUAUUAUUCCACUUGAUCUAUUUGUCCAAUUUUUUUAUUUGAAUUAACUUGUAAUUUGUAUGACAUUUUGUACCUACUAACUCAAUAAAUUUUUGAGCUAAUAUCCCCCAGAUAUUUACCAUGCGUAACUUUUUAUUAACAUAAAUUCUCUAAUGAAAAAAUACAAGGGGAGGGCCAAAACUUACCUUACCAAUCCUGGGUUGGUAAUUCACUUGAUCAUUUAUUAUUUUUUAUUUAAAAGAUGAAAAUUAUUGAUACAAUAUUGUUCUAUUAGAGCAUGAAAAACUUAAUGGUACUAGCUCUUCAAGAACUUGAAGUGCAAAAAUAAGUAAUACAAAAAAAAAAAAAGAUGUGAUGAUGGACAAUAUGGUAAGUAUUCAUAUUUCAAACAUAUAUAUAUAUACUCUGUUCCUCUAGCUUCAUAUACUGAGGCACAAGUCAUUUAAGUUGUUUCAAAUCCACACUACCUAGUUAAUAAGUUAUGAAUUACUCUAAUAGCCACUUAAUAUAUUUAAUCUUAUAUCAUUCUUUGGAUUAACUUGAAAUUUAUAUAGUAUUUAAUUUGUUCAUACUAAUUUAAUCAAUGAUUUUUUAAAAGCUAAUAUCACCCAUUUAUUUACCCCAAGUAAUUUUUAUUAGUAAAAAUUCAGAAAUGAAAAAUAAAUUUAGGAGGGCCAAAACUUAAUUACCUUACUAAUUCACUUGAUCAUUAUUAAUUCUUUUUCAUUUAAAAGAUGACAGUUAUUGACACUAUUUCAGUUACAAUUUUUGUUUUAUAAGAGCAUGGAAAACUUUUUAACUUGAGUCUAAUAAACUUCUCCAAAAAUGUAUCAUUAAAAAAUAAAAUUAACUACGCAAAGCAUUUCUCUUAACUAAUAUUUGUACCUAAAAUUUUAUUUGAUGGUGCUGGCUCUUCAAGUACAAUAAUAAUAAUAUAAAACAUGACAAAAAAUUGUAAGAAAACAAUGAUAUUGAUAAUUGGAUUGUACAUGACAUGUUGAUUCAUGAUCUUUUUAUAGGGGACCAUGGCAGUGGAAGCAAUCUGGCUUACUUAUUCUGGAGAACUAUGGUUUAGCAAAGACGCAAUGAAAAAUAUGCAAAGGCUUAGGAUAUUAUGCAUACAGAGUUAUCCUUGGGGGUUAUUGAAUACCUACAAGGACCAAUCUUCCCAAAGUGAUUCAGAAGAUGAGUACUUGGGAGUUAUUGAAUACCUUUCCAACAACUUGUGUUGGUUUGUCUGGCAUGAAUAUCCUUGGAAGUUAUUGCCAAGAAAUUUUAAUCCCAGAAGGCUUGUUCAUCUUGAUCUCCGAUGGAGUUCAUUGCAUUAUUUAUGGAAUGAAACAAAGGUACCAUUCCAUUGGAGAUACUUUCUAUUUUGUCUUGUCCUAGAAUUAUGAUUCUUGUGUUAAAAUGAAAAUAAGUUAUUAAUUCCAUAAACUCAAACUAAUGUAUUUUGGGUUGUACGUUCUCAUAUUAUUAAUCUCUAUGAAUUGCAUUUCCAACCUCUGCAUCUAAAGAAGAAACAAAAAGAAAUAUGUUGGCACAACUUUUCUACAUCAACAUCCAGAUAAUCAAGUAUAGCGGAAAUUUAAAUAAAACAUGCUAAGAUUAAGGUCUUCUUUUAGAUAUUUUACCUUUUAUUUAUUUAUUUAUUUAUUAUAACAUGAUUUUUAUCUAGUUUCUGAGCAUGUAAUUUCCAUAUAAAGUAAAAUAAACAAUUUCUCAUUUCACACGUUGAAUUAUAAUAUAAACAUGUCGUUUACUACUUUUCAUAAUUCUUUCUGUGUUUUGAAUAACUGCAGCAAUUUCUGUCUCUACGAAGGAUAGAUCUAAGUCACUCCAAAAGCCUGAAGAGAACACCAGAUUUCAAGGGGAUGCCAAAUUUGAAGUAUUUGGAUCUAAACAAAUGUAGGAGUCUUGAAGAAGUUCAUCCUUCCCUCAAGGAUUGCAAAGAACUCAAGCAGUUAAAUUUGUCUUUUUGUUCAAAACUUGAGAGGUUUCCAUAUGUUAAUGUGGAAUCUCUUGGAUCUCUGAAUCUAUAUUACUGCCCUAGUUUAGAGAAAUUUCCAGAAAUCCUUGGAAUAAUGAAGCAGGGAACUGCCAUACAGAUUAUAACGUCAUACACUGGGAUAAGGGACCUGCCAUUAUCUUUCUUUGAUCACCAACUUCAUCUUAUAGAGCUACGUUUGGAUGGCAUGAAAAACCUUGUAUCUCUUCCAAGCAGCAUUUGUAAGUCAAAAGGUUUGGUGAAGCUAGAUGUGUCAAAGUGCUCCAAACUUGAAAGCUUGCCAGAAGAGAUAGGUGAUUUAGAAAACUUGGAGGAGCUUCAUGCCAACAAUACUCUAAUCUCACGUCCUCCUUCUUCCAUCGUCCGGUUGAACAAACUUAAAUCAUUAACUUUUGCAAAAGAAAAAUCAGAAGAUGGAUUGUUAUUUGUGUUCCCUCUGGUGAAUGAAGGGUUACUCUCAUUGGAAUAUCUGGAUCUCAGCUACUCCAAUAUAAUAGAUGGAGGACUUCCGGAAGACAUUGGAUGUUUAUCCUCUUUGGAAGACUUGAAUCUCAGUGGAAAUAAUUUUGAGCAUUUGCCUCAUAGCAUUGCCCAUCUUGGUCUUGAAUACUUGAACUUAUCAGAUUGCCAGAGGCUUACACAGCUGCCAGAAGACAUUGGAUCCUUAUCCUCUUUGGAAAAGUUGUAUCUCCAGAGAAAUAAUUUUGAGCAUUUGCCUCAUAGCAUUGCCCAUCUUGGUCUUGAAUACUUGAACUUAUCAGAUUGCCAGAGGCUUACACAGCUGCCAGAAUUUCCACAGCAAUUACACACAAUACAUGCAGAUUGGAGCAAUGCUUCGAUCUGUAAUUCGUUGUUUCAGAACAUCUCAUCAUUGCAGCAUGACAUCUGUUCUUCACAUUCCUUGUCACUAAGAGUGUUUGGGAGUUGGUCGGAUGAUAUCCCAAGAUGGUUCCACCAUCACGAAGUUGGUAGAAGUAUAUCAGUCAAAUUGCCUGAAAAUUGGUACAUAAGUGAUAACUUCUUGGGAUUUGCUGUAUGUUAUUCUGGCAAACAUAUUGAUUGCAUCACAGCUCAUUUGAUUCCCUUAUGUGAUGAUGGGAUGUCGUCGAAGACCCAGCAAUUUUCCUUAUCCGACAAUUCAGAAUUAGACGAUAUUGAUGAAUCUGUUAUUAAUUUUUUGUUGGUACCUCUUGGUGGCUUAUGGGAUGCAUCUAAUGCAAAUGAAAAAACACCAAAUGACUAUGGGUGCAUUAAGUUAGAUUUUAUUGGAGAAACAGAUGAUGCUUUUGGAGAAACAGAUGAUGAUUUUGAAGAAACAGAUGAUGAAUUUGGAGAAAAUAUGAAAUUUGGAGUUCGUUUGUUGUAUAAAAAUGAAUCUGAGCUUUGCAUUGGGAAAAGGAAGAGUAGAUAUGAAGAAGAGGCCACUUGCUCCUCUUCUAAGAAACUCUUGCAGCUCUUUCCCACAAGCCCCGGAUUAUAGCUAGGUAUAUACCUCAUGAAUUUGUUGUCUCUUUAUAUAUAAAUUAUUUCUUCUCAUUCUUUCCCCUAUUGGCAAUCAGCUGUGAGUUUGAUUCUCCUCUUAAUGGUUCUAACAACUUUUAUUCUGAUUUCCGAUUUCUUUGUCAUAACAAUUUGGGUAUGCAAAAAUUCAUUCUUUUUAAAUUUCAUUUCAAAAUAUAAAUCACAUUUUCCAUUUUCUGACAAAAUGAGUUUAUUCGUUGAUAUCUAACAAUGAAUUUAAACGAUACAAUACAAUAAAAUUUAUGUGACAAUCAAAAUUUUUGUUGUAUAAAGAUGUAGCUGAGCUUUGCAUUGGGAUAAGGAGGAGCAGAGGCCAGUGGCUCCUCUUCUAAGAAACAAAGGUCACAAGUAGAUUAAAUAUAGGUAAUCAAAUUGUGCUCUCUCUUUGACAAAUUGCAGAUGAAUGGAAAGACAUUUAAAAAAAAAAUUGUUAAGUGUCACACUAUUUUUUCUUUUCUACUAUAUUAGAAGUGUGGGAUGCCUUUUGGUAUCAACAUGUUUGUUAAAUGUCAAUAAAUUUCAGCUGAAGGGUAUUUUAGUCUUUUAGUAAGAUUUUCUUAUUCUACGUGUCAUCUAGAUUGAAGUAUUAUACAAGUAAAACAAUGUUUGUUAUUUUUAAUAAAACAAUGUUUGUUAAAUGUCAAUUAAUUUUUUAAGAUUCGAUUCCUUAAGUUCUCAUAUUCAUAUAUAUUUUUUCCUUAAUUUUAUUUUGAGCUUCAAUUUUUUUCUCUGAUAUUUACAUUUGGCUGAAUAGAUUUAUAACGGUUUGAUUUUAGAGGUAGGUUGAUGGGUUAAUGAAGUUUGAAUCUGAUAGAAUCCAAAAUGACAGAUGAAUAUUCAAAGAAUUGGAUAGAUGUAUGAGUAGUUUUGAUGAAGGUAAUUGUUUCUUGGAUUUUCUUGGUCAAUCUUACUGAGUGAAAAUUUGAGAGAAUUAAUUAUUUUGGCUGUUAAAAUUGUUAUUGUUGGUGAAAUUUCUGAAGUGGGGUUGUUGAAAUCACAAUGGAUCAUGUUGUGGGUGGGAAGUUUAAGCUUGGAAGGAAGAUUAAAAGUGGUUCUUUUGGUGAGCUUUAUUUAAGUAUGUCACUUGGUAGAUUUGAUUCUAUGGUCAAAACCCCAUUUCCUUUACUUUUGAAUUUUGUGUUUUUAGUUGUUUUAUUAGCUAUUGUUUUGUGUUUCUUAUCUUUUCUGCUUCUUGCUGCUUUAUUGGUUCAAGUGUGAAUAUACAGAAUGGAGAUGAAGUUGCCAUUAACAUGACCUACUACAUCCCAUCAACACAAAUACUAAAUAAAUUGACGUUAAUUUCAAACUGAUUUCAGAAAGCUAUUAGUUUUCAUAUUUCUAAUAGGGUGCACUCUAACCCUAUAAACACGUGAUAUAGUUUGUAACUUCUUACGUUUUCAUAUCCGUGAUGUUCGAGCUCAACUGAUUUCCUAACCUGCUAUAUCCCAUCAACACAAAUACUAGAUAAAUUGACAUCUCUUUAAUGCAAAAAUGAUAUGAGCUGCUACUUAAUUCUUAUAUUUGAUGGUUUGAACAACAAACUCUAAUUCAUUUGUGCAUAUGAGACAAUUUCUUUCGGGUACUAAUCAACACUGAUUUCCUUUGAACUUAUACAUUCUGAUUAACUCUUUGUAAUGUAUCCAAGGAGUUUUAUUAAAACUUACAUGAUGAAAGCUCACCAAAUCUAAUUUGGUUUAUUCAAAUUUAUUCAAGGAAAUAUAACAUUCUUCUUUUCAUCACAAGGAUUAGUGAUGUUGCAACUAUGUAAUUUUUAUGUGGGAUAAGUCAAGGGUAUAUUAUAUUCUCUACAGUUUACGAGAAUUAUGCAUCAUUUUAGCAAAUGAGUUCCACUCUUUGUUCAAAGAUAUUGAUUUGUCGUUAACAUCUACCAUUUUUUUAUGGGAAAAUGCAUGAGUACCCCCUCACCCUAUGCCUGAAAUCCCAGAGACACACCUAACCUUUACUAAGGUCCUAUUACCCCCCCGAACUUAAUUUAUCUAUAAUAUUCUACCCCUUUUCGGCCUACGUGGCACUAUCCUUGAAAAAAUUGUCAACAUGCGCUGGGCCCACCUGAUAGUGCCACGUAGGCCAAAAAGGGGUAGAAUAUUACAUAUAAAAUAAGUUCGGGGNNNNNNNNNNNNNNNNNNNNNNNNNNNNNNNNNNNNNNNNNNNNNNNNNNNNNNNNNNNNNNNNNNNNNNNNNNNNNNNNNNNNNNNNNNNNNNNNNNNNNNNNNNNNNNNNNNNNNNNNNNNNNNNNNNNNNNNNNNNNNNNNNNNNNNNNNNNNNNNNNNNNNNNNNNNNNNNNNNNNNNNNNNNNNNNNNNNNNNNNNNNNNNNNNNNNNNNNNNNNNNNNNNNNNNNNNNNNNNNNNNNNNNNNNNNNNNNNNNNNNNNNNNNNNNNNNNNNNNNNNNNNNNNNNNNNNNNNNNNNNNNNNNNNNNNNNNNNNNNNNNNNNNNNNNNNNNNNNNNNNNNNNNNNNNNNNNNNNNNNNNNNNNNNNNNNNNNNNNNNNNNNNNNNNNNNNNNNNNNNNNNNNNNNNNNNNNNNNNNNNNNNNNNNNNNNNNNNNNNNNNNNNNNNNNNNNNNNNNNNNNNNNNNNNNNNNNNNNNNNNNNNNNNNNNNNNNNNNNNNNNNNNNNNNNNNNNNNNNNNNNNNNNNNNNNNNNNNNNNNNNNNNNNNNNNNNNNNNNNNNNNNNNNNNNNNNNNNNNNNNNNNNNNNNNNNNNNNNNNNNNNNNNNNNNNNNNNNNNNNNNNNNNNNNNNNNNNNNNNNNNNNNNNNNNNNNNNNNNNNNNNNNNNNNNNNNNNNNNNNNNNNNNNNNNNNNNNNNNNNNNNNNNNNNNNNNNNNNNNNNNNNNNNNNNNNNNNNNNNNNNNNNNNNNNNNNNNNNNNNNNNNNNNNNNNNNNNNNNNNNNNNNNNNNNNNNNNNNNNNNNNNNNNNNNNNNNNNNNNNNNNNNNNNNNNNNNNNNNNNNNNNNNNNNNNNNNNNNNNNNNNNNNNNNNNNNNNNNNNNNNNNNNNNNNNNNNNNNNNNNNNNNNNNNNNNNNNNNNNNNNNNNNNNNNNNNNNNNNNNNNNNNNNNNNNNNNNNNNNNNNNNNNNNNNNNNNNNNNNNNNNNNNNNNNNNNNNNNNNNNNNNNNNNNNNNNNNNNNNNNNNNNNNNNNNNNNNNNNNNNNNNNNNNNNNNNNNNNNNNNNNNNNNNNNNNNNNNNNNNNNNNNNNNNNNNNNNNNNNNNNNNNNNNNNAGACACACCUAAUCUUUACUAAGGUCCUAUUACCCCCCCGAACUUAAUUUAUCUAUAAUAUUCUACCCCUUUUCGGCCUACGUGGCACUAUCAGGUGGGCCCAGCGCAUGUUGACAAUUUUUUCAAGGAUAGUGCCACGUAGGCCGAAAAGGGGUAGAAUAUUAUAGAUAAAUUAAGUUCGGGGGGGUAAUAGGACCUUAGUAAAGGUUAAGUGUGUCUCUGGGAUUUCGGGCAUAGGCUGGGGGGUACUUAUGCAUUUUCCCUUUUUUUAUUGUUGAAGUUGCGAUGAACAUGUUCUUUGAUUAAUUAUCUAUUAUAAAUUGUUCUGAAAAUCUGUAAUGGUACUGUAAAAUAUUGCGUCUAAAAUUUAUUAUUUACAUUGUAGGAAGUAUGGAAAUAAAGGGGUCAGCUUCUUGGCAUACUAGGAAGCAUGGAAUUAAUUAGGAGGGCGUUUUUUUCCAUGAGGGUAGGGAGUUUGGAUUGGUGUAACAAAAAUUGAAUUUUUAGGUUUCUUAUUCUUCCGCAUAUAGCUUAUUAUUGUUCUGUUGUUGGGAGUUCUGCUUAAGUUAUUAAAGAACCAAUUUGCAAACUGAUUAUUAUCUACAAAUUGUCUCAGUUGAUAUAUACUCUCUUGAAUCUAUGACAUUGUUUCAAUAUUGAAAAUGCAGAUUCUUUGAGGUCGUAGCAGGGGUAAUUUGAGCUUGUGAUUGGACUUUUAGCUAGCCAUUUCAUUAUUUAUAAGGUAAGAAAGGUGCUCCAAUUUUUUUUAAUUUGUUUUUCGUUGGUCCCUUUGUUGCCAUUAACUGCAACUUCAUUUAAUGUUAUAAGAGAGGUUGUUGAAUAUAAUUUGACUAAUUGACAAAGAGAGAAUUUCUGAAAGUAUUUCAAACCUGUUUAUCAUCUAUGUAUACUAUGACUGUACUGAUGUUAGCUUGAUCUGUGUUGCAGCCCUGUAGGCUUCAUCUUCUCAGGAUACAACACAACUAACUGAUAGUUCUUGAAGCUGUUUUAGAAACAACAAUAGUUACUCUAGAACUGAAAAAUUGUACUAAAUGAUAGUUGUAGUACAAAUAGUUGUGAAUAUUAACGUGUUAUUCAUGAAUCAUGAUAAUAAAAUUCCACCUCUUAUGUUUUUCCUUUCCCGCUAAAGUCAGUUCACUUUCUCUCUUCCUAACCACUCUUUUAUAUAUACAGUGUUCUUUCAACCCAAUUUUAUCUCCUAAAAGCAUUAGCAAUAAGUUGGAUUAUGAAACAAUCAAAUACAAUAUAAAGUACGACACUGUUCUUUGUCGGUCACGAUAGCAGAUCGUUGGGCCCAUACUUGCACGGGCUUAUAUCAUCUAGUCUAUUUUAGUAAGUGCAAGAAAGGCAUUUGAUUAAUCAUCUCUGAAAUUAAUGUAAUCUAAGCUAAGAAACACUGCUACAUAAUUGAACCCCCCCUCCCCCCCCAUUAAUAUUCUCAUUUCUUGUUCAAUAUAUUACCAAUAUCGAGCACGAAACGAUAUUUCACAUCCGAUUUCAGAAGAUGUUCCAAUGCUGUGUUCACGUAGUCCAUUGGCACGACUUCAACAUCUGGUGUUAUGUUAUGCUUGGCCGCGAAAUCCAACAUUUCUCAAGUCUCUUUCAUACCUCCUAUGCAACUUCCAGCCACUAGCUUCCUUCCAGUUUUCCACAUUAUAUAUACAAUUCUCACAUUUUCGACAUGAUCCUACCAUACAUCCAACAUCUACUUUGUCUCCAACCUUACAUUUCUCCACCUUGCUUCCGACCUCAGUUACCACACCAACAACCUCAUGCCUGCAAUUAUAUUUUCAAUUAGUUACACUCACGAGUAGAUAGAAUCGACACAAAUUCCGCUAAUAUUUACUCCCUCUAUCCCAAUCCCAGUUUAUAUGAUUUACUUUUCUUUUUAAUCCGUCCCAAAUAGAAUGACACAUUUAACUUUAAAAUGUUCAUCUUACUCUUAAUGAAAUGAUUUAUAGUCAUACAAAUUUGUAUCAGUCAUUUUAGACCACUAGUUUUAAAAGUCUUCCUUUCUUUCUUAAACUCCAUACUGAGUCAAACUAACUCUUAUAAAAUGGGACAGAGGGAGUGUUGACACCCAAUUUUGACCCUCCCCGAUAGGAAUUAAUUCACGAGCUUCUUAAUUCCCAAACGAUUUAGAAUAAUUAGUUUUAUAAAAUUCGAAUACUUUUCAAAGUCAUUUUGAGUAAUCUUAGGUGAUUUUCAUAAUUUAUAAAUUAUAAAUAUAUUUCAUGUAAUUAUAUAUGUAAUUAGUAUAUCUUAUGAACAUUCAAAAAUUAUCUCAAAAAGAAUUUAGUUUUACUUAAAUACUUUAUUAAAUUAAUUUGUCUAAAUUAGUAGUUCAUGUUUUGAGUCUUUAGUUUACAAUCGAGUUAAUUAUUAUAUUUUGUUGAGAUUAAAGAGCUCAUAAAUUAAUUAUAUUAAUUCGUCUUAUUUAGUUACUAGCCGAGCUUACCAAAUGAAUUCCAUUUGACUACGUUCCUAAUUCAUUGGCUAAAUUUGUAAUGCAAUUGAUCACUCAAUUCGAUUAAAAAUAAUGAUUUAUUAGCCGAAUUUCCUAAACUCAUUUGACCAAGAAAUUGGACCCUUUGCUGUCCAAAACAUUUCCAGCGGCCCACUUCUUCAUUGGCAUUCAAUAUUCCUCCAGCAUAUUUUCCAACAGCCCAUUCUUGUGCUUCCAGCAAAUGUACACGUACAGCAGCCCAUUCUAUUAAUUCCCCACAAUUUCAGCAACCCAAUAACGUACAGAAAUUCCCUUGACCCGGCCCAUUUGCAUUCAACUAGAAGACCCAGAAACGUCUUCAACAGCAGCUCAAAACAGCAACAAUACAACGUCUCCUCACGGCGUCAGUUCCGGCGAUUCUAGUCCAAUCGCGCGUACCAGCGAUUCCAAUCCAACUGUUGUGUCGUCUUUCUCCCGUCCCUCUCAAAUUGUACGUUUUCAGCAGUGAGCAAGCACGCGUCUGCCCCCAUUCCUCUUCCGGAAUGGGGUGAAAUCUUCAGAAAAGGGUGUCUCCCCUUUAAUGGAAAGGAUUUCAAAUUUUGAAUUUGGGAAUGGGCCUUGAACCGAAAAUUUUCGUACCUUCUUCUCUCAUUUCCGAACCCUAUUCUCUCUCCUAUAUAUGUUGUUAUUGUUCACUGGGAGGGGGGGGAUUUUUUUUUUGGGGGGAAACGAAAAAAAGAAGAGAAAAGAUUUGAGUUGGAAAAAGGUUAAAAAAAAAAGAGGUUGGCAUUUUUAGUAGAAAAUACUACGGAGAAUUUAGUUUGCGAAAAAAGAAGAAGUGAGAACUAGAUACAGAAAUCAGAAAGAAUCACACAAGAGAACAAAUGGUAGGAUCGAUUUUGAACUGAGUUUCACUCCCUUACUCUCUUCGUUGCUCUUUCGAGUUCGUGGAGGUUUAGAGUCGGUGGUGGAAGUCAGUUUCUCGCUCGUUGCCGUCCCCGUCGCUGUAUCGGAAAAGGUAAUGUCCUCGUCUUAUUAUUUCUCCUUCAAUGUGGCGUUCUUCUGAUUUACGGGAAAUAAUCAUAGAUAGUCUUUGAUGAAGUCUCUUUGGGUGAUUAAGGUGUCAAUCUUUUUGGGUCUGUUGGUUCUAUAGAGUACCUUAAAUCCUUGCCUCAUUUUUCGCCUUGAAUAGCUCGAUAUUUAUUUGAUUUUCGGUUUGAGAAUGCUAGUUGUGUAGUCCUGUUCCUUCACUGCUUCAUUUUGUUCAAAAUAGUUUUAUGCUCAUUAUUUUGAGUGCAUUAGCGGUACAGUUCUACUUCUCCACUGUUCAUUUAUGCUCUUGGUUGUCUUCUCUAUCGAUUGGAACUUCCAUAUGCUUGCCUAAUUUUGUAGAAUCUAUCUCUGUUCUUGCAACUGGAAUGUCUUCUUUGUCUUGUGUAUUUCAGCUAGCAGUUAUAUUGGUGGUCCACCAUAAUCUUGUUUGGAUUUGGCUCCCUUGUUUAUUGUUAAUUCGUCUCCGAAAUGUGUCUUUUUCCUUUAUACGUUGGGCUGCUUUGAUUUUCGAAAUGAGAUUUUAAAAAAUAAUAAUUUGUUUCUUGCCCUUUUCUUUCCAAGCAUAUCAUCUGUUUCUUGUCUCAUUUGGCUGCUAAUUUNNNNNNNNNNNNNNNNNNNNNNNNNNNNNNNNNNNNNNNNNNNNNNNNNNNNNNNNNNNNNNNNNNNNNNNNNNNNNNNNNNNNNNNNNNNNNNNNNNNNNNNNNNNNNNNNNNNNNNNNNNNNNNNNNNNNNNNNNNNNNNNNNNNNNNNNNNNNNNNNNNNNNNNNNNNNNNNNNNNNNNNNNNNNNNNNNNNNNNNNNNNNNNNNNNNNNNNNNNNNNNNNNNNNNNNNNNNNNNNNNNNNNNNNNNNNNNNNNNNNNNNNNNNNNNNNNNNNNNNNNNNNNNNNNNNNNNNNNNNNNNNNNNNNNNNNNNNNNNNNNNNNNNNNNNNNNNNNNNNNNNCUGCUUAUUUUGAAUGCAUGCUCAUGUAUGGAAAAUGUGUUAAAAGUCUACUGUAUUAUUUUGAUUUUGCUUGCUGCCAUCUCUUAUCAAAUUCCAAGGGAUAGAAAUGUUUAGUCCCUUUUUAGUGAUGGAUUGAGAAACGUGUCUCUGCAUGUUUUCCUUCAAAAGGACUAUUUGUCAAUUUGCACUUUCUUAGGCUAUACGCAUAUUAUUAGUUUAUCUCUUUUGGGAUUCAUUCAUCCGCCUUGUGCUCCUUGUCUUUUAUUUUGGUUAAACUUGUCCGUCGAUUUCGUUCUUUAAAUGAAUUUACCGUAAAAAAUUAAUUUUUGAAUUUAGUUCAUCUUAAGCUAUGAAUGUAUGUGUACUACUAUCUAUGGGAUAUAAAUAUAUGUAUGUGAAACAUUUGUUUUCUCUAUGCUUACUUAUUAAUUAUGUCAAUAUGCAGACCCAUAUGAAUGCAGCACCUCAAUCUUCUAACAUUAUAAUAAUAACAUUAAUUCAUGCUUAACAAUUACACUUCCAACCCAUUUCCAAUUUUAACACAUCAUUAUUCAGUGGUCAACAAUGUUUGUCCCAAUUUGCCAUCAGCUUUCACGUGGAAGCAGUUAUUAUACAUAUGUCCUUCAAAUUUCACUUUAUAAUAUAGUAAUAUAUAUUCCUAUCAACUAUCAAUACAUACAAUACAACAUUAGAGCUUGUCGAAUUCUAAUCCUAAUCAAUGUUAUUUAUUUAUUUAUUCAUUUAUAUUUUUUUUCUCACUGUGAUGAUUAGGCGGUAGUGAUUUUUACUCUCCUUUAGUUUCUUAUAUUAAGUCAUGUGGGUUGUUACUCAUAAGUUUACUUGUUUUUGUUGCAUGUGAAAUUCGCCCGAGUUCAUUGUGAACUCCCAUCAUUCCCUUUGCAUUUCGAGAGAACCAUAAAGGCUCAAAUUCCAUCUUCAUCGAGUCUACCGACCCAUAAAAAUCGAUGUACAGGUCCCGAAGCCAAAAGAAAAGCGGAACAGAUCGGGAGUUGAAAAGGAUUGGGCCAAAAGCCCGCCUAUAUUAAUUAUGAGUUGUAUUUUGUUAUAUUGGGCCUAAGCCCCCUUGUCAUUAUUUAUUAUUAUUGCGUUAGUGCUUAGGACAGGUGAAAUUGACGGAAAUGGACCCAAAUACUGGCCCAGGCGGACAGGAAAACCAGAUUUGGGCCCAAAUCUCCUUCCUCGUUGUGUUUGUUCACUCACUAUUAUCUGCUAUUAAUCUUAAGGUUUAAAAAUUCAAAUCCCCAGAAGACACCCAUUUUGAAUUAAUCACUUAACUAAAUCAUCCGUUUCUUACUCAACUUAAGAAUAAAUAAGUAAAUAAAUACGUAAGUUUAUGAAAUACUUCAUUUAAAUAUUAUGGCUACAUUUUUAUAUUUCUCCCUUAAAAUGAUCCUGACCAUAAAAUAGUUCAGUUUUGCAAUUCGAGUUAAGUUAAAAUUAUUUUAGCCAAAUAAUUAAUCGUCGGAUAACCGCAUUAGCGGAUAUUCUAGGUGCUUUAAAAACCUUCCUAGAAUAUUAAUAAGAACCUCGUAACUUUUUUUUAGUUUUCAUUAGAUUCCUGUUUUAGUCUUUUUGUAAAACAACAGUUUUUCUUGAUUUUUUCUUCAAAAAUUUAAGUUGGCGACUCUUAAACCAGUCUUAAAAUAUAUUUUCCUAAUAAAACAGGGAGUAACAUGUCCCAACAACUCAGGAUUUACUGAGGUAUCAAGAGCUAAAAAUGGCCAAUUAUAGACUAAGAAUCAAAUCAGGAUUGCUUUCAAAUCCAAAAUAUAAUGUGAAUAAUUGAAAAGAUAUAGAGAAAAGGAAAACUAGCUAGUAAAUGUUCUUCGCCGAAAAAUUACUUAUGUGAAUAUAUAGUGGAUGUUGAAUCAUGUUAGCUUCUUUGUGCCUUAAUAUUUUUGAAUCUCGUUAGUGAAAAUUCUAGUUAAUAUUUUUGGAUCUAAUGAUUAAAAAAAAAUCUGAAUUUUUUAAACCAAAAAUAAAAGAAAAUAGACAAGAACAAAUUAACAGGCACCAUAGGGUACUUGCUAUUUCCCCAUUCAUUCUUGAGUUGAUGAAGAUUAGAAUGCUCCACAAUACAUAACUUUAAAUUGCACAUCUCUUUCACCUGUCACCCUGCACCCAUUAACACAAAAUGAUCAUCAUUAGAUUUACAAUAAAACAACAACAACAAAUUCAGUAUAAUCAUAUAGGUGGAUUCGAAGUGUCACUGGUAAAAAAUGAUAUUUACUGACAAUUAAUAAACGAGAAUAAGUUAUCUUUUUAGAGGCAGUUGCUAGUAACAAUUACAUUUUGCAACUCUUUGCAAAUGUUGUCAAAGCCCAUAACGACAUUGGAUCCAAUAACAAAUAAGUAAUACUGGUAAAGAUUUCAACACUUUUUGCUAACGUACAUAUUUAUUGCCGUUAAAAAACUAUUUUUAUUAUAACAUAUGUACGUACAUGUUACCCUACCUUACCUUAUAGACAAAAACUUGCCUUAUCCAACUAUUCAGAAGAUAUUGAGGAAGAUACUAUUAUUUUUUUGUUGGUACCUCUUGGUAGCUUAUGGGAUGCAUCUAAUGCAAAUGGAAAAACACCAAAUGACUAUGGGGGCAUUAGGUUAUAUUUUUCUGGAGAAAUAGGUAAAUAUGGAGUUCGUUUAUUGUAUAAAGAUGAAGCUGAGCUUCACAUUGGGAUAAGGAAGAGCAGAUAUGAAGAAGAGGCCACUUGCUCCUCUUCUAAGAAACUCUUGCAGCUCUUUCCCACAAGCCCAGGAUUAUAGAUUAACUAUAGUUAGGUAUAUAACUCAUGAAAUUGUGUUCUCUGUUUAUAUAUAAAUUAUUUCUUCGUAUUCUUUUCCCUAUUGGCAAUGGUUCUAACAAAUUUUAUUCUGAUUUUGGACAAAGUGGGAAGAUGCUACUUUGGGGACACUGCCUAUGAAGGGAACACAUUUUCCAUUUUCUGACAAAUAGAUGACCCGAAAAAUAAAUUGCACAUGAAUGGCAAGAAAAUUUUCCAAAACAGGUAGAUAAAAGAAGCUUCGGGAUGGUAGGGGUUGAGGUAUUAACAACUUAGUUUUGAUUUAAUAUUUUUUGACGGAGAUUAAAGUGGGUAAUAACCAUUUUAUCCAAACCAUAUUUGACCAAAUCCAUAUUUACCCAUAUUUUAUAUGGGUGGAUUGUGAUCCAAUCCAUAUUCAAUCCAUCCAAAUCCGAUCCAUUCCACCCAUUUGUCACCCCUACUGAUAUUGAUCAUUUCUUUUUCUGGAACAGACUAAAAGAAAAGAGUGUUGUAUUAAAGAGUUCUCAAGAACAGAAAAAUGUCGUUGUAUUAACUUGUCUAUUACAUGAGAUAAAUGACAACAGAUCCACUUUGUAAACAUUGAAUGGUAGAUUUUUAAGCCCUUUGCUCAAAGACAAAAUGCACUAAUUCAUGAUUAGACAUGUUGUGAUCGUUUCGGAUUAGGAAUAUGCGAUUACCUGUUAUCUUAUUAACUAUGUUUUUAUUCUGGUUUUGCAUUACUUUUGCAGAGCAGACUGGUAACCGAGAAAAAUACCCGGUGAUUCUGCCUGUGACGGGAACAUGUUUCCUCUGUUUGUAACAGAACAACUCGACUCUUGGCCUGAGAGAGAUUCAUGAAAGAAAUUGGGUAUGCAAUAAUUUAUUCUAUUUGAAUUUUGUCGAAAUAUAAUCACAUAUUCUUCCGUUUGCAUUGAUAUUUUUAGAGAGUCCGAGCAACAUAGAAUUCCAGUACUUCUUUUAGUAGUACUCAAUGUUGGUUGGAAAUAACUAGUGCCAUAUAUAAAUACCUUCCCUGGAACAAUCAGCGGCGAAGCCUCAUAGACCAAAGGUUGGUCAGAUAAACAUCCUUCAAUUUAACCCAAAUAAUGCACAUCUCUAAACUUGAUAUUUAAGUGAGAAGAGUAGGAGACGGACUCAUUAUCCUUUAAUUUCCAAGGUUGCAACAAAUCUAUCGAUAAAAAAA